RNAcentral lists this ribosomal RNA (390 nucleotides) under uncultured bacterium. RNAcentral describes it as "bacterial SSU rRNA". It matches the Rfam family "Bacterial small subunit ribosomal RNA", at positions 28 to 419 of the family's 1533-position model. The record is from RNAcentral.
GACGAACGCUGGCGGCGUGCUUAACACAUGCAAGUCGAGCGGUAAGGCCCUUUCGGGGGUACACGAGCGGCGAACGGGUGAGUAACACGUGGGUGACCUGCCCUCAGCUCUGGGAUAAGCCCGGGAAACUGGGUCUAAUACUGGAUAUGACUCCAUGACGCAUGUUGUGGGGUGGAAAGCCUUGUGCGGCUGAGGAUGGGCCCGCGGCCUAUCAGCUUGUUGGUGGGGNGAUGGCCUACCAAGGCGACGACGGGUAGCCGGCCUGAGAGGGCGACCGGCCACACUGGGACUGAGACACGGCCCAGACUCCUACGGGAGGCAGCAGUGGGGAAUCUUGCGCAAUGGGCGAAAGCCUGACGCAGCGACGCCGCGUGAGGGAUGACGGCCUGG